GGUUCAGGACGAACGCUGGCGGCGUGGCUUAACACAUGCAAGUCGAACGAUGACGAUGGUGCUUGCACCGUCUGAUUAGUGGCGAACGGGUGAGUAACACGUGAGUAACCUGCCCUCCUCUUCGGGAUAACCGCCGGAAACGGUGGCUAAUACCGGAUAUGAAUGUCUGCCGCAUGGUGGGUGUUGGAAAGAUUUAUCGGUGGGGGAUGGACUCGCGGCCUAUCAGUUUGUUGGUGAGGUAAUGGCUCACCAAGGCGAUGACGGGUAGCCGGCCUGAGAGGGCGACCGGCCACACUGGGACUGAGACACGGCCCAGACUCCUACGGGAGGCAGCAGUGGGGAAUAUUGCACAAUGGGCGAAAGCCUGAUGCCAGCGACGCCGCGUGGGGGAUGACGGCCUUUGGGUUGUAAACCUCUUUCAGCAGGGAAGAAGCGAGAGUGACGGUACCUGCAGAAGAAGCGCCGGCUAACUACGUGCCAGCCGCAGC
This 488-nucleotide ribosomal RNA is filed under the name uncultured bacterium. Its description in RNAcentral is "bacterial SSU rRNA". It matches the Rfam family "Bacterial small subunit ribosomal RNA", at positions 21 to 518 of the family's 1533-position model. The record is from RNAcentral.